This 1428-nucleotide long non-coding RNA is filed under the name Manihot esculenta (cassava). Its description in RNAcentral is "long non-coding RNA (MESC_LNC008480)". The record is from RNAcentral. Lineage: Eukaryota; Viridiplantae; Streptophyta; Magnoliopsida; Malpighiales; Euphorbiaceae.
GCCUCUUUAUCUAAUUUUCUAUUAAUUUUCUUACAAAUGGGCAAGAUACACUUAAUAUAUAAUAUUUUUAAUCCUUGGGUUAUAUCAAAAUUAACAUUUAUAUCCCUGAUUGCUUGAAAAAUUAGUACUUAGUCCUUGUAUUUUAACUUUAUUAAAUUGAAUAAAUUAAUGUUUUUCGGAGGGAUUUCAAUUUGACGAAGUCAAAAUAUAUGGAUUAAAAUAUUGAGAUUUAAAAAUAGAGAGACCUCACAAGUUUUUGUCCGCAGAUCGUUUGUGAAAAUGCUCUAGUUGACGCUAAAGGAUUAGCAUUACAAAAGUCGGUCUAACUCUGCAACAAGUUCGCCAACUAAGUCAUAUUUGAUAUUACCCAACUCCAAAAUAGUCACUCAUGAGUUUUAUGCGCAAAUCAUUUGUAAAAAUGCUUCAAAUGGUAAUGAAUGUUUAUACUUAAAAAAGUGGAUAAUGGAACUCCGGAACAAAUUUUUUCAAUUAAGCUCAUAUUUGGUAUUUCACAACUCAUGGAACAAGUUUUUCAAUUAAGCUCAUAUUUGGUAUUCCACAACUCAUGGAACAAGUUUUAUGUGUAAAUAAUUUGUGAAAAUGCUCCAAAUACUGAAAAAAUUGGUUCAGGUGCUUCGAAAAAAGUUUAUCAACUGAGUUCAUAUUUGAUAUUUUUCAACUAAAAAGGAUCCAGAAAUGUUUAUAGGGAAACAAUUUGUGAAAAUGUUCCAAAUAAAGAUGAAAAUUUGUUUUAUAAAAGUGGGUCUCGGAAUUCUGAAAUAAGUUUGUCGACUAAUUUCAUAUUUGAUAUUAUUCAAUAUCAUUUGUGAAAAUGAUAAAAAUGACGAAAAAGUUUACCUUUAUAAGAGUGUAUUCUGGAGCUCCAAAAUAAGGUUGCCAACUGAGGAUGCUUCAAAUGACAAUAAAAGUUUACUUUUUCAGAAGUAGGUCUUGAGCUCGGAAUAAGUUUGCCAACUGAAUACUAUAUGUGUUAAUUUUGAUAUAACUUAAGGAAUAAAAGUAAUUUGCCCUAAAUUUUUUGUUGUUUUUCCUAGUAUAUUCUUAUUAUUCUCCACUUCUAUUGAUUUGUCGCUUAAUUAUGCUUAGAACUAAUAAAUUUUUGUUUGCAAAUAUGUAUUAAAUCGGGAUAUAUUAGAAAGCUAAUAAAAAAAUUACCAUCUCAAAGAAGAAAACAGUCUAUAAUAACAAGAAAAUAAUCUUAUCUUUGUGGACAGUGGGAUCACGGGAGUACGUUAGCAUAUUAACUUGAAUUAUUUAAUUACCUAUCUUAUUAUUUUUUGAAGCAUAUAAAUUUUCUCUUAUUUAUUCUACUAUAAAAAUUUAAUAUCCUAAAAUUUAUUUUUCAUUGAUAUUAAUUAAUUAUUAUGAGAAUUUUAUUCUAAGUAUUUCUUUUUUAACUGAAUGUUG